RNAcentral lists this long non-coding RNA (1137 nucleotides) under Canis lupus familiaris (dog). Its description in RNAcentral is "lncRNA (ENSCAFG00040021806.1)". The record is from RNAcentral. Lineage: Eukaryota; Metazoa; Chordata; Mammalia; Carnivora; Canidae.
AUGGGAAAAGCACAAGUGCCCCAGGAACGGCUGAUGUCCCGGCAGGGCCCGGCCCGAGGCCAGGUGCCAGGCCGCGCUGUCCCCGAGUGCUGCCCGCAGCCGCCGUCCCUGCCCCCGCUCCCCCCGGCUCCCCCAGCUCCCCUGGCUCCGCAUGGGGCCAGGCCUCCCCGCGGGGCUGGAGGCUGGAGGCUGGAGGCUGGAGGCUGGAGGCCGCACCCGCAGCCCUCGGCGCCGACGGGAUGCGAGCGCUGCCCACACACGAGGGGCCUGCGGGGCGGCCAGGCCUCCGUGCACCUGCCCAGGCCGUGGGAGGAAGGCCCGGAGCUGGGCCCGCCUGGGGCUCUGCCGGCUGCCUCAGCGCCCCUGCGCCUCCAGGGCUCCCUCCCUGCCCCCCCCUCCUCCCCCUCCCUCUCUUUCUCUCCCCCUCUCUCUCUCCAUCCCUCUCUCCCUCCCUCUCUCUCCCUCCUUCUCCCUCUCUCCCUCUCUCUCCCUCCCCCCUCUCUCUCCCUUUCUCUCCCUUCCUCUCUUUCUCCUACUCUCUCGCUCCCCUACCUCCUCCCUCUCUCCCUCCCCCUCUCCCCAUCUCUCCCUCUCUCCCUCCCCCUCCCUCCUCUCCCUCUCUCGCUCCCUCUUCCCCAUCUCCCUCUCCCUAUCUCUCUCUCCCUCCCCCUUCCCUUCUCUCUCUCUCUCCCUCCCUUCUCUCUCCCCCCUUCCCCCUCCCUCCUUCCCUCUCUCUCUCUCUGGCACAGGCCUCACUCCCACCCUGGGGACCGAACCCUCGGAUGUUCUUUACCAUCACUGCGCUGGGCCUUUGACAAAGCCCGGGGCGAGCUGUGUCUCCCUGGCUGUCAUGUGGACCAGCGGAGUCCCCACCUGCCGCUUAGGGAGGCUGCGAGGAGGCCAAGGAGGCCGAGGAGGCCGCGUCAGCUGCCCCAGCCCAGGGCUGGGCCAUCAGAAAAUCCCGGGUUACUAGCUGACCCAGCCAAACCGGGUAUUCCCCAAUUCUGUGAGGAAUACAGCGUGAGAGCAAGUUCCAGAAACAGGUUGAGAAUCUUUAGCCCUCUGGUUUCUCGCUGGGGUUUUGGCCUCAUGGCAAGAGCCUCCCGUGAUCCCAGAGGAGCUCGCUGUCAGGGGUGA